This 217-nucleotide ribosomal RNA is filed under the name uncultured bacterium. RNAcentral describes it as "partial 16S ribosomal RNA". It matches the Rfam family "Bacterial small subunit ribosomal RNA", at positions 524 to 740 of the family's 1533-position model. The record is from RNAcentral.
UACGUAGGGUGCGAGCGUUAAUCGGAAUUACUGGGCGUAAAGCGUGCGCAGGCGGUUUUGUAAGCCGGAUGUGAAAUCCCCGGGCUUAACCUGGGAAUGGCAUUCGGGACUGCAAGGCUGGAGUGCGGCAGAGGAGACUGGAAUUCCUGGUGUAGCAGUGAAAUGCGUAGAUAUCAGGAGGAACACCGAUGGCGAAGGCAGGUCUCUGGGCUGACAC